Molecule: non-coding RNA, 30 nt
Filed under: Cricetulus griseus (Chinese hamster)
Lineage: Eukaryota; Metazoa; Chordata; Mammalia; Rodentia; Cricetidae
Source: RNAcentral
CUUUGUUUUUGCUUGCAUACGACUACUUGA